UACGAAGGGUGCAAGCGUUACUCGGAAUUACUGGGCGUAAAGCGUGCGUAGGUGGUGAGUUAAGUCUGUCGUGAAAGCCCCGGGCUUAACCUGGGAACUGCAGUCGAUACUGGUGAACUAGAGUGCGGUAGAGGGUGGCGGAACUCCGGGUGUAGCGGUGAAAUGCGUAGAUAUCCGGAAGAACACCGAUGGCGAAGGCAACCACCUGGGCCUGCACUGACGCUGAGGUACGAAAGCGUGGGGAGCAAACAGG
Molecule: ribosomal RNA, 253 nt
Filed under: uncultured bacterium
Lineage: Bacteria
Description: partial 16S ribosomal RNA
Rfam family: Bacterial small subunit ribosomal RNA
Source: RNAcentral